Molecule: long non-coding RNA, 564 nt
Filed under: Androctonus crassicauda
Lineage: Eukaryota; Metazoa; Arthropoda; Arachnida; Scorpiones; Buthidae
Source: RNAcentral
GGAGAACAUCAUUUGAGUGUAUUUCAAAAAGAUACCUACGUACCAUUAUUUAUCAAUGCAAACUGUAACGAGCCAUGAGCUUAUAAGAUCUCAGCCUUUAGAGCCCUCCUUCAAAGGAUUCAAACUCAUUGUACAACAAUGGCGGCUAAACUUAAGGAACUAGAAUGGAUAAAAAACCAGGCAGUUGCCCACAGAUAUAGUGCCAAGACUAUUUAUAAAUUGUGAAACAUUAUGUUAAACAAAUAUGCACAGAACAUACAGGUUACACCAGAGAAUGAUCAAAGAAAAAGUGAAGAAGAGAAAAAAUGCUUUACUAUCGACAUAAAUCCCAUUACACUCAAAUAUAAGAGAAAGUUAGAAAAGGCUUCAGGAGUAAAAGUAGUUUUUAAUAGAAGAAACACCCUAUUUAACACUUUAAGAUCUGACAAGCCGUGAUAUGAUAGGAAUACACUACCAGGAGUAUACGAAAUACCUUUUUAUGAUAAUGAUGUGCAUCAAGAGUUUACAUACAUUGGAUAUACUACAAGAUCACUUAAAAAACACCUGCAGGAGCAUAAAAGAGAC